Molecule: ribosomal RNA, 478 nt
Filed under: uncultured bacterium
Lineage: Bacteria
Description: partial 16S ribosomal RNA
Rfam family: Bacterial small subunit ribosomal RNA
Source: RNAcentral
GACGAACGCUGGCGGCGUGCUUAACACAUGCAAGUCGAACGGUAAGGCCCUUCGGGGUACACGAGUGGCGAACGGGUGAGUAACACGUGGGUGAUCUGCCCUGCACUUCGGGAUAAGCCUGGGAAACUGGGUCUAAUACCGGAUAGGACCACUGCCUGCAUGGGUGGUGGUGGAAAGCUUUUGCGGUGUGGGAUGGGCCCGCGGCCUAUCAGCUUGUUGGUGGGGUGAUGGCCUACCAAGGCGACGACGGGUAGCCGGCCUGAGAGGGUGACCGGCCACACCGGGACUGAGAUACGGCCCAGACUCCUACGGGAGGCAGCAGUGGGGAAUAUUGCCCAAUGGGCGCAAUCCUGAUGCAGCGACGCCGCGUGAGGGAUGACGGCCUUCGGGUUGUAAACCUCUUUCAGCACCGACGAAGCGCAAGUGACGGUAGGUGCAGAAGAAGGACCGGCCAACUACGUGCCAGCCGCCGCGGUAA